GAAGAAGAUCAUGAUCAUGAUCUGCUGUAUAAUCCUUGCCAUUAUCUUGGCUUCUACCAUUGGGGGCAUAUUUGCCUGAAAAGAUGGGAUCUCAACAGGUAUCUCCAGUCUUCCACCUCUGUGGUGCCAUCAUGUCUUCCCUUCAGAGUCUUCCUCCGCUAAGCCUCUUUUCAUUAGGAAACUUUCAACACAGGGCACCAAUCAACUGUUUAUUAAAUGUUACAGAAAGGGUGAACAAAUUAAUGAAAAUAUGGAAUUGAAAGGCAGGGAUGAAGGAACAGGGAGCACAGCAAUAUCCAGUGGGUUUAGAUGGCCCUUAAAGGGCAGACCUGCAUGCUAGAGAAGCAUAAUGGGUCCCUGUUUAGGGUACCUCUGUGUAGACUCGGAGCCUGGAGGCCAGGAUGCUGAAGAGGCAGGUAUUACAACAGGCCCAACUGCACAAGCUGUUAACUGAAAUCUGAGGCCGUCUCUCAGAUAGGUACUCCCUUUGACUCUUAACGGCUCUUCUAGGCCGCACUCUUAACCCACCAGAUGUCUGCUUCCUUCUUUAGGGUCCAAAAAUAGUUUUUACUUUAUAGAUUGUUUAAGGAUAGAUACUAUGCCUGUCUCAAACACUACCAUGUCCCUACUGCUUAGCACAUACAGUGCCUGCCACUUUCAGAUAUCUGCUGGCUUGUAGUCAAGCUUUGAUUUCAUUCAUGGAUGA
RNAcentral lists this long non-coding RNA (706 nucleotides) under Rattus norvegicus (Norway rat). RNAcentral's name for it is "long non-coding RNA NONRATT003597". Lineage: Eukaryota; Metazoa; Chordata; Mammalia; Rodentia; Muridae. The record is from RNAcentral.